GACAGAGGUGCCGAGCGUUAGGCGGAAUCACUGGGCUUAAAGCGUGUGUAGGCGGGCGGGCAAGUACCUUGUGAAAUCCCACGGCUCAACCGUGGAACUGCUGGGUAUACUGGUUGUCUUGAGCCAGCUAGGGGCGAGCGGAACAGACGGUGGAGCGGUGAAAUGCGUAGAUAUCGUCUGGAACGCCGAAGGUGAAAACAGCUCGCUGGGGCUGCGCUGACGCUGAGACACGAAAGCCAGGGGAGCGAACGGG
Molecule: ribosomal RNA, 253 nt
Filed under: uncultured bacterium
Lineage: Bacteria
Description: partial 16S ribosomal RNA
Rfam family: Bacterial small subunit ribosomal RNA
Source: RNAcentral